Molecule: unclassified non-coding RNA, 336 nt
Filed under: soil metagenome
Description: partial contains 5.8S ribosomal RNA, internal transcribed spacer 2, and large subunit ribosomal RNA
Rfam family: 5.8S ribosomal RNA (bases 1-120)
Source: RNAcentral
GAUGAAGAACGCAGCGAAAUGCGAUAAGUAAUGUGAAUUGCAGAAUUCCGUGAAUCAUCGAAUCUUUGAACGCACACUGCGCCCCCUGGUAUUCCGGGGGGCAUGCCUGUCCGAGCGUCAUUGCAACCCUCAAGCGCGGCUUGUGUGUUGGGCUUCGUCCCCCCGUGGACGUGCCCGAAAGGCAGUGGCGGCGUCCCGAAUGGUGCCCGAGCGUAUGGGAACUCUCUUCCGCUCGAACCGGCCCAUUCGGCGCUGGUCGAACCCCAAUUUUUUACCGGUUGACCUCGGAUCAGGUAGGGAUACCCGCUGAACUUAAGCAUAUCAAUAAGCGGAGGA